Molecule: long non-coding RNA, 217 nt
Filed under: Elaeis guineensis (African oil palm)
Lineage: Eukaryota; Viridiplantae; Streptophyta; Magnoliopsida; Arecales; Arecaceae
Description: long non-coding RNA (EGUI_LNC033849)
Source: RNAcentral
GCUAAUUUGAAGAGUCUCAGUGGAUAGGGACUCUAUUGAAGAGUCCCACUGGAUGGAGACUCUAGAGAAGAGUCCCACUAGACUUGGACUCUAUCAUUAAUAGAGGAUUAAUUAGUUAGUAUAUCAUUAAUUAGCUUAAUUUAAUUGAUCAUUAAAGUCUGGAUCAAGUAUGAUUGAAUUGAAUUCAAUCAGGUCAGGUUUGAUUAGGUUAUGAGAU